Molecule: ribosomal RNA, 740 nt
Filed under: uncultured bacterium
Lineage: Bacteria
Description: bacterial SSU rRNA
Rfam family: Bacterial small subunit ribosomal RNA
Source: RNAcentral
AGAGUUUGAUCCUGGCUCAGAGCGAACGCUGGCGGCAGGCCUAAUACAUGCAAGUCGAACGCACCUUCGGGUGAGUGGCGGACGGGUGAGUAACACGUGGGAACGUGCCCUUUGGUUCGGAAUAAGCCGGGGAAACCUGGUCUAAUACCGGAUGUGCCCUUCGGGGGAAAGAUUUAUCGCCAUUGGAGCGGCCCGCGUCUGAUUAGCUAGUUGGUGGGGUAAUGGCCCACCAAGGCUACGAUCAGUAGCUGGUCUGAGAGGAUGAUCAGCCACACUGGGACUGAGACACGGCCCAGACUCCUACGGGAGGCAGCAGUAGGGAAUCUUGCGCAAUGGGGGAAACCCUGACGCAGCCAUGCCGCGUGAAUGAUGAAGGUCUUAGGAUUGUAAAAUUCUUUCAGCGGGGAAGAUAAUGACUGUACCCGCAGAAGAAGCUCCGGCUAACUUCGUGCCAGCAGCCGCGGUAAUACGAAGGGGGCUAGCGUUGCUCGGAAUUACUGGGCGUAAAGGGCGCGUAGGCGGGCGUUUAAGUCAGAGGUUAAAUCCCAGGGCUCAACCCUGGAACUGCCUUUGAUACUGGGCGCCUAGAGUACGGGAGAGGUGUGUGGAACUCCGAGUGUAGAGGUGAAAUUCGUAGAUAUUCGGAAGAACACCAGUGGCGAAGGCAACACACUGGCCCGUUACUGACGCUGAGGCGCGAAAGCGUGGGGAGCAAACAGGAUUAGAUACCCUCGUAGUCC